This 405-nucleotide ribosomal RNA is filed under the name uncultured bacterium. RNAcentral describes it as "bacterial SSU rRNA". It matches the Rfam family "Bacterial small subunit ribosomal RNA", at positions 355 to 772 of the family's 1533-position model. The record is from RNAcentral.
UCGGGAAUUUUGCGCAAUGGACGAAAGUCUGACGCAGCAACGCCGCGUGAGGGAUGACGGCCUUCGGGUUGUAAACCUCUUUCGCCUGCGACGAAGCGAGAGUGACGGUAGCAGGUAAAGAAGCACCGGCCAACUACGUGCCAGCAGCCGCGGUAAUACGUAGGGUGCGAGCGUUGUCCGGAAUUAUUGGGCGUAAAGGGCUCGUAGGCGGUUUGUCGCGUCGGGAGUGAAAACACACAGCUUAACUGUGUGCUUGCUUUCGAUACGGGCAGACUAGAGGCAUGCAGGGGAGAACGGAAUUCCUGGUGUAGCGGUGAAAUGCGCAGAUAUCAGGAGGAACACCGGUGGCGAAGGCGGUUCUCUGGGCAUGUCCUGACGCUGAGGAGCGAAAGUGUGGGGAGCGAA